CCACGUUCAGAUUGCAGGCUGCAACUCGCCUGUAUGAAGUCGGAAUCGCUAGUAAUCGCGGAUCAGCAUGCCGCGGUGAAUACGUUCCCGGGCCUUGUACACACCGCCCGUCACACCAUGAGAGUCGGGAACACCCGAAGUCCGUAGUCUAACCGCAAGGGGACGCGGCCGAAGGUGGGUUCGAUAAUUGGGGUGAAGUCGUAACAAGGUACC
RNAcentral lists this ribosomal RNA (213 nucleotides) under uncultured bacterium. RNAcentral describes it as "partial 16S ribosomal RNA". It matches the Rfam family "Bacterial small subunit ribosomal RNA", at positions 1287 to 1500 of the family's 1533-position model. The record is from RNAcentral.